UUAGUGGCGAACGGGUGAGUAACACGUGGGCAAUCUGCCCUUCACUCUGGGACAAGCCCUGGAAACGGGGUCUAAUACCGGAUAACACUUCCUGCCGCAUGGUGGGGGGUUAAAAGCUCCGGCGGUGAAGGAUGAGCCCGCGGCCUAUCAGCUUGUUGGUGGGGUGAUGGCCUACCAAGGCGACGACGGGUAGCCGGCCUGAGAGGGCGACCGGCCACACUGGGACUGAGACACGGCCCAG
Molecule: ribosomal RNA, 241 nt
Filed under: uncultured bacterium
Lineage: Bacteria
Description: partial 16S ribosomal RNA
Rfam family: Bacterial small subunit ribosomal RNA
Source: RNAcentral